UAGGGAAUCUUCCGCAAUGGACGAAAGUCUGACGGAGCAACGCCGCGUGAGUGAAGAAGGAUUUCGGUUCGUAAAACUCUGUUGUUAGGGAAGAAAAAAUGUAUAGUAACUAUAUACAAAAGAGACGGUACCUAACCAGAAAGCCACGGCUAACUACGUGCCAGCAGCCGCGGUAAUACGUAGGUGGCAAGCGUUGUCCGGAAUUAUUGGGCGUAAAGCGCGCGCAGGUGGUUUAGAAAGUCUGAUGUGAAAGCCCAUGGCUCAACCGUGGAGGGUCAUUGGAAACUAAUAAACUUGAGUGCAGGAGAGAAAAGUGGAAUUCCUAGUGUAGCGGUGAAAUGCGUAGAGAUUAGGAGGAACACCGGUGGCGAAAGCGGCUUUUUGGCCUGCAACUGACACUGAGGCGCGAAAGCGUGGGGAGCAAACAGG
RNAcentral lists this ribosomal RNA (429 nucleotides) under Verrucomicrobiota bacterium. RNAcentral's name for it is "Verrucomicrobia bacterium partial 16S ribosomal RNA". It matches the Rfam family "Bacterial small subunit ribosomal RNA", at positions 355 to 776 of the family's 1533-position model. Lineage: Bacteria; Pseudomonadati; Verrucomicrobiota. The record is from RNAcentral.